Molecule: non-coding RNA, 2496 nt
Organism: Sus scrofa (pig)
Lineage: Eukaryota; Metazoa; Chordata; Mammalia; Artiodactyla; Suidae
Source: RefSeq, a predicted model, not a curated record
CCUCCUGGUUCCUAGUCGGAUUUGUUAACCACUGCGCCACGAAGGGAGCUCCCUUUUUAACGUCUUUUUCUCCUCGCUCUUGAGAGUCCACGCUUUCAAGUGAGGAACGAAGGCUUUGUCUCUGGAGAAACACGUUGUCUAAGGCAACUCCUGAUUCCCACUGCGCAGUCACUAAAAGACUGAGGAAUAAGUAUCAGGCCUCCAGAAGCUCCCUCUGGCACUGACCAAUGAGCCCUAAUUGCUCUGUCCUGGGAAGAAAAUCAUUACCAACCUCAGUUUCUCCGCCAGGGCCUCCGCUUUGGAGAGUCUCUGCUUUCUGCAUCCCCAGCCCACCCCACCUGCAACACGCACCCAGCCCUAACUCGGUGCUUCUCCUUCUCUCUUCCUCUUUGCUUCCUACAAAGUCUAAGCUCUCCCAUUGCAAGGACAAAGGGUGUUCCGGUGAAGGGUUCAGGACACGCAAGUCAGAAAUAAAGCCAACGCUGGAAAAUUUCUGCGUCAGGUGUUUUUUACCUGGUUGGCCCUCACUUCCCCUUUCAUUCAAUAAAGUUGAGAUGUUGGGGAUGUGGUUGUUCGGUUUUGUCCUUGCUCUUUUCUCUCUCUCGCCUCACACCUCUACUCCAUCUGCUUCUUCAACUGACCCCUCAGAUGAGUAUAAUUGUUUAUUUAAUAGUCUGCACGAUAUUUGUGCUUUAAAAAAACACAAGGGGCAAAACAAAAGAAGGUGAUGAUAAACAUGAAGAACACAACAUUUAAGCAGAGGAAACCAAAGUGCUGCCUCCUGAGUGAUGUGAGCUGUUCCUGAAGCAGGGGAAGGAAAAAUGGGCAGAAGAGAUCCCCGCUCGUUGCUAGAAACACCUGCAGGUCCUUAGGGAAGGCCUCCCUUAAUGAGCUUUCUCGAAAGCUGUUUUCAGCCUAAUUUUUUUUUAAUUCCUGUGUUUUAAUUUACCUGUUUUCAAGCUGAAUCUAAUAAACUGUUGGUAGUAGGAAAAAGAGACAGUCCCCAAUUUGAUCAUAAUUCACCAGAUUUAAACCAAAAAAAAAAAGUUAGGAUUAGAGGGAAUUUAGUUCUUAUUUUUGAUAGUCACAAGAAACACAUUAGCCACUUUAAAUAGUUUUAGAUCAGAUUUAAAAUGUGAAAAAAAAAAUUCUUUUAUAUGCCCAAGCAUUUUGUUGAGUUACUUUUCUGGGCAAAAUUUCAGGAUUUUGGAGCAUAUUUAAAACUCCCAUGACACCAAUUUCAUUUUCUUUCAGUUACUUAAUUGACUUUAAAAAAAAAAUUGAUGCCAGCUCUUACUUGGCAGAAUCUAUAUAUCAUUCACAGCCAGUGCUUCACUUUCAAAUAUUCUUGGAAUUAGAGUAAAAUUGCCAGCUUUCACAAAGAAAAAUUCCAGGAUGCUCCGUUAAAUUAGAAUUUCAGACAAACAAUAAACAAGUUUUUUGGUAUAAGUAUGUCCCAGGCGAUACUUGGGAUAUACUUAUACUAAUGUAUUAUUGAAGUGACUUGAAACAACAGAAACGUUUUCUCUUACAGUUCUGGAGAAUAGCAUCUGAAUCCAGGUGACAGCAGAGCCCCUGUCUUCAAAGGCCCUAGGGGAGGACCCCUCCUGGCCCCUUCCAGCUGCUGAUGGCCCAGGCACUUCUUGGCUUGUGCUGCCUUCCUCUCGUCUCCACCUCCAUCUUCACACAGCGCCCUCCUCCUAAAUCUCCUUCUGCCUUUACAAGGACAGGAGUCACUGAAUCUAGGGCAAUUCGUAAAUCUAAGGUGAUCUCACCGCAAGAUCCUUAAUUCCAUUGCAUCUGCACAGACCCUUUUGCAAAUAAGGUGACCUCAACAGGGACCAGGUAUUCGGACAUGAAUAUAACUCUUGGGGUCGGGAGGAAGGUCACCACCCAACCUGCUGCCAAGGAGGGGCCUGAGGACCUAAACAGCAGCUGAGGGUGAUGAACUCCAAGCAGUUCACUGUCAGAAACAAAACCAAAGGAGGCAAAUCUGCAUGAGGUUCUUUCACCUGGUUCUCCCAUCACCGGCACCAGAUUCUUCUUUGGAAGAAGCAUAGGAAGGCCACCCAGUCACUCCCUCAAUAGACACUGAUUGAGCUCUUUGUAGGUAGGCACCGGAGUCUGGGAAUCCAGGUCUAGGUUCACUGGCUCCCGCAGUGCUGCGUGCAGAGGCCUGGCACCCGGCCCUUCAGAUCGGAGCUCCUGGGGAAAACGCCUGGGACGUCUGCAGAUGCGGCAAACCACGCUCCAUCCAAGACUGCGGCGGCGGCGGCGGCGGCGGCCCAAGUGCAAAGACCUGCAGCACUGAGAGCUGGAGCCUGAGCAAGGCGCCUGUGCCCGCCCCGUGAGAGCCCGCCCCUGCCCCCCACCGAGAGCCUAUGAAGCAGCCCCACCCCCACCCCGCACCUUGUUGGGCCAAGCGUCAGAGCUCCAGGGCCCUGUUCACACCUCUUCACUCUCGGAUCCAAGAAUAAAGCUUUCCUUUGCUUUCGA